RNAcentral lists this ribosomal RNA (408 nucleotides) under uncultured bacterium. RNAcentral's name for it is "partial 16S ribosomal RNA". It matches the Rfam family "Bacterial small subunit ribosomal RNA", at positions 28 to 526 of the family's 1533-position model. The record is from RNAcentral.
GACGAACGCUGGCGGCGUGCUUAACACAUGCAAGUCGAACGGAGUGGCGAACGGGUGAGUAACACGUGGGUGAUCUGCCUUGCACUUCGGGAUAAGCUUGGGAAACUGGGUCUAAUACCGGAUAGUGCAAGAUGAGCUCGCGGCCUAUCAGCUUGUUGGUGGGGUAAUGGCCUACCCAGGCGUCGACGGGUAGCCGGCCUGAGAGGGGGGACGGCGACAAGGGGCCUAAGGUACGGCCCAGAGUCCAACGGGGGGCAGCAGUGGGGAAUCUUGCACAGUGGGGGGGAGCCUGAGGCAGAGACGCUGCGUGGGUGAUGAAGGUCUUGGGGUUGUAAACUCCUUUCGACAGGGACGCGGUACCUGUAUAAGAAGCACCGGCUAACUACGUGCCAGCCGCCGCGGUAAUAC